Molecule: long non-coding RNA, 1247 nt
Filed under: Dromaius novaehollandiae (emu)
Lineage: Eukaryota; Metazoa; Chordata; Aves; Casuariiformes; Dromaiidae
Description: lncRNA (ENSDNVG00000003419.1)
Source: RNAcentral
GCAUGAAGCAUGACUCAAAUUUUGUGAGGCUGAGUAAUAAAAAGUCAUUUCUUUUCCUUCAAGGGCAGGCUACCAUGAGACUGACAGACUCAUGGUCUCAUUCAGCCUUUCUUCUACAAUGCCACAUGGACAGACAACUUCAUUUAGUCAAGGAAGCAUUUGGAGAUGUGGAAGCCCACCAGACAGAGGUGCUUCUGCAGGUUCUUUUCCAUCUCCAAAAAUCUUCCCUAGCAAUUAAGCUUCACACCAGAUUUUUGAGACCCAGGUAAUCAUCUAGCAGCCAACUGAUGCCUGGCAUCCUUAGCUGACAGCUGAUCAGGCACAUAAAGGUUAAUUCUCCUCUUAUACGUGCCAAGCUUUAUCAAAUCAGAUGAGACCCAUGAAGUUUUGAAAUUUGACUGUUAUUCCUACAAGUUUGUGUUAUGCAGUGUGGACAUUCAUUAUAGCACUAGCUGUUACCAUCUGUCACUGCAAAAAGAUGUACUUGACAGAUGUCUUUACAGUUGCCAUUUUGAUAGUGCAAGAAUAGAGAGUGGCUGUUGUAUUCUUCAUUUGAUAUACUAAUUAAGUCGCUACCACUUAAUUAAAAGAUGUGUCUAUUUCUACAUAUCUAUUUCUAUAAAACAGAAUUCCAUUCCAUUUUAGAAAAAAACUAAUGGGAUAAAUUUACAGGUGGGUUCACUUCCCUCAUCCAAAGCACUGCUAUAUGUUUCAGUCGAAGUGAGUAUCCACUCACUUCAUUAAGGGUCUUAUUUUCUCACUACCCAAGAGGUAUUUGCGGCCUUUUCUCUCCUGGAUCAGUGGAAGAAUUUAUACAUGUUGAUUCUGUUGACACCUUCCUUAGCUAGAAAGAGGUACUUUUGCCACAUAUUUUCCAUUGGCUUCCAGGUGGCAUAAUAUUUAAUUAAUAAGAUUAAUUUAAUUUUUCUCAUCAAUUUACCAGAAAAAAAAUCAUGGAUGGAUAAUAAGAAAUGGUUUGAAUUUGCGACUUUCUUUUUCUGAAGUCCUUAAAUUCUCACUACAUUAUCCAUUGUCUCUUUGUCAUUUACGCUUAGAUAUGGCCCUGGCUAGAUUCUUCAGAGCACAAUUAUCCAAAUUUUAAAAUGUACAUAUGAGUGAGAAAGAAAAGAAAUAUAACAAAUACCUUUUUUCCCAGUUUCACCUCAAAUACCUGAAGUUUUUCGCCAUUUAUCUGUCACACAUGCUAACACGUUUGUCCUUAGAAUAAAUUCUUGGAACAUUUUACA